Non-coding RNA from Phrynosoma platyrhinos (Desert horned lizard), 72 nucleotides. Lineage: Eukaryota; Metazoa; Chordata; Lepidosauria; Squamata; Phrynosomatidae. The record is from the annotation of a GenBank genome assembly.
UAAAAUGUGGCACAGUGGUUUGACUGCUGGACUGUGACUCUGGAGACCAGGGUUUGAUUCCCAGCUCUGCCA